GGCUGCUCCCACAGUAUAUGAAGGUUCCCAGGCUAGGGUGCAAUCGGAGCUACAGCUGCCAGUCUACACCACAGCCAUAGCAACACCAGAUCCGAUCAAGUUCUUAUUAUACAUUUUGUUUUUUGUAGGACAUCAUUCUAUUCUAAUUUAAUCUAUUGACUUGAUAAGACCCACCUCAAGUUUAUUUUUACCCUGUGCCUCCCUCUAAACUCUAGUAAUACAAGUUCAUGUUUCAAAGAAACAAUGGAAUACACUAUACAGGCAUCAAGCUUUGAAAUGAGUGAGGGAGUUCUGAGUUACCAUCUCUAGUAGAAUAUCUAUUAAUUGCAUUUUCCUGGCCAGGUGAAUUUUAGGGUUUCAUUUGAAAAAUCUUCUAACUUUAAAAUCUUAAUAAUAUAUACACAUUAUUAUCACUUAUACAAUAUACAAAAAUGUAAUGGAGUCAUACUUCAAAGAAUUACCUCAGCAAGACUGCACCAUCUUCAGAAAAAAAAAAUCUGCACUAACAUAGCAUGGGACAUAGCAAUGAUUCAUGUAUUCAUAAACAUUAAUUAUCUAGCACAUCAAGAGGGAAAUUGUAUUUAUUUUUUGUUUGCUUGAUUGAAUUCAUUCAUUAGCCAGAUUUUCCCCAAACACAAAAUACUUUUUGAGAAUAAAUUAAAAGCUGUGGUACCUGGUCUGAGUGUAUUUUAAUUCAGUAAUAAGAAACUCUGGGUUGUGGGUCUCAUUAGCAACGCUUUUUUUGAAGUUCAUCUCAGCAAUAUCAUGUGACUACUUUUAAUUUUUUUCCUCCCCUCUAACCAGGAUUUACUCCAGAAAAUUUUAAAAUCUAAUUAGUUAUUGUAGAUUUAGGAAAGAGCAGCAGCACACAGCCAGGCUCUCUGUGGUAAGCACGAACAAAAUUAUGCUUUCAAAAACGGAUGUUCAGACAGGUCUUGAGUUUAAGACAAUUCACAUAUAGUUUUGGGAGCUGAAGUGUUUUGUAGGUACUGCCCCCCCUCUUCUCUAAGGAAUACCUGCACAUUGUGGAUGAUUAGAAAAUAGCCAUGAGAAAAUUAAAAUUACUUGUAACCAUAAUACCUAAAGAUAAUCACAAGUAACAUCUGGGGAAUUUACUCCUGCUCUUUAUUUAUAUAAACACACACAUUCACAAAGAGAAAACAAGACUCAAACUGUUGAUAAAGUGGGCUUUUCAUUUUCUUUCAUUUUAUUAUUAUUUUUUCCUGUGUCUUAGAAUAUUAAUGAUUAUCUAAUUUCUUGUCCUAUGACCUUUGGAGAUGAGAUAAAGUAGCCAAUUUUGACUUCAGUAUUAAUCAAAGGACAUUUAACCCUACUGCACAGAGCAGGUUAAGUGUGGGGGCCGUCUCAACCAAACUUGCUGUUCUUAAUCAUAAGCAGGCAUUGCUGAACCAUCACAUGGAGGAAAGCCAAUGGCUGAUUAGGAAAACCUGCCUUGGACACAAGCUUCUAAUUGGUUUGAGGCACGAGACACAUUUGGGCAUUUUUUUUUUCUUUAUUUAGGCCACCCCUGCAGCAUAUGGAGGUUCCCAGGUUAGGGGUCAAAUUGGAGCUGUAGCUGUGGGCCUACACCACAGCCACAGCAACGCAGGAUCUGAGCUGUGUCUGUGACCUACACCACAGCUCAUGGUAAAGCCAGAUCAUUAACCCACUGAUCGAGGCCAGGGAUUGAACCUUCAUCCUCUCCUCAAGGAUACUAGUCAGAUUUGUCUCCAUUGAGCCAUGAUGGGAACUCCUCCCCUCUUUUUGUGUGUGUGUGUGUGUGUGUGUGUGUGUGUGUGUGUGUGUCCUUUUAGGGCUGCACCCACCACAUAUGGAGGUUCCCAGGCUAGGGGUUGAAUUUGAACUGUAGCUCCUGGCCUAUGCCACAGCCACAGCAAUGUAGGAUCCAAGCCACGUCUGUGACCUACACCACAGCUCAUGGCAACACAGGAUCCUUAACACACUGAGCAAGGCCAGGGACUGAACCCGCAUCCUCAUAGAUACUAUUUGGGUUUGUUAACCACUGAGCCACAACAGUAACUCCACCUUUGGGCAUAUUUGUUACAUCAAUUUACUCCACCCUAACUGAAAGGGUGUGGAAUCAGUGAGAGUCUGGUUUGUGAUUCGACAUAGGUUCGUCCUUUCUUUUAUUUUCAACCACAAUAAAAGCAGUGAUAAAAUAUAUUUAUAGAACUUUAUUUAAGUUUGGGCUUAUGAUAGCUUUCAUCAUCUGAAGGCAGGUUUUUCUAAUCACCAGUUGGCUUUUCUCCGUGUGGUGGUUCAGGGUCCCCUGCUUAUGAUUAACAAGACGGUCCCCACAUUUAACCCACUCUGUGCAGUAGGGUUAAAUGCCUUUUGAUUAAUGCUGAAGUCAAAACUGGCUACUUUAUCUCAUUCGUGUAUAAUCUUUCAUUUUCCCUUUAAAUUUUCAGAUUCUAGCAUUUAUCUGUUUAAUCUGUUCAGACAUCUAUUUGGUAUUAAAAAUAACUCCACCUUUCUGAGGGCUGGAAGAGAAAGUACUACAAUCACAUAAAUCAUCAGAGUCAAAUUUUUAAAGAAUACAAUAAAUCUGAAAAAGAAAUAACACAAGGCUCUGAAUAUUUUUUCCUUGAAUGCUAGAUUUGUCAACAUAACAUCCUAGUAGGAAAAAUAUUCUUUAGCUAGUCAUAGAUAUUCCACAAAAGUUAUGAGUAAAUGCUGUGAUACAAGAAAAUUACAGAUGUUUUUUAAGUCUUCUGUGAUUGGAUUAUUAAUCUGAUAAUGUGGGUAGACAGAUCACGAUGGAUCAGUCAGGUGGCCGACUGGCUGCUAGACCCAACAUUAGGACACAUUGAAUAGGAAUAUUCACACUCCAUAAAUACCCUGAAAAAGAAAAGCCAUGAGAAAACCCUUCUCUUUUGAUAUCUGCAUUCAGCUAUGUCCCUGUGAAAGAGAGCAGGAGAGUUCAGCUCAUCUGGAAACAGGUCCUGCUUCACAUCCUCAUAGAAGACCAAGGCAUUAUCCUUUCUUUCUUCUUUUUAUUGAAACAUUUUUAAAAUUGUGGGGAAUAUGUAGUAGCUUUUUUUUCCCCCCCAGGGCCAAUUCAGGAAUCUUGGCACCAAAACGUCAAAUCAGUUUUCAUUGAACAUUCAUCGAAACUAUUAAUGACUCAUUAUGCAGGGGAAAAAGACGUUAAUGAACAAGCAUAGUCAUUUGACCAAAAUAAAUUUCAGGGGUGAUGUAAAAUUUAAGUAGUCAGUGGUAGAAGGCUUUCUUAAGGAUAGAAUAAGCUAGUUGGUUUCGAAAGAAAAUCAUAAAUUUUUUAUGCUAGUAGCCCUGUAGAGUUAAAAUGAAAAUUAAUGCAUUAAUUCAGGAAUUAGCAACUGUUCAUAAGUACUAACAUAUUUCAAAGAAGAUCUGACAUAUACAUAAAAUCAUAUAAGGCAAAAAAUAUAUUAAUUAUAGAUUACUAGUAUUCACAAAUUAUUAUAUUGCUAGUAUAUAUGGAUGUGUGUAUUGAGUUUGUGGAAUAUAUAUGUAUAUAUACAUGAAAUACACAUAUACACAUAAAGCAUAUGUUUAUAGAUACAUACAGAACUAUAAAUAAAUAAAUUAUGGGCCACACAUUUAAUAUACGAAUAGGCCAAUAAACUCAAGUGCCAAUAUCUCCAGUUUCCUAUGCAUUCUCAACGGAGUGCUAUGCACAGCUUUUUUUUUUUUUUGUCUUUUUCCAGGGCCGCACCCACGGCAUAUGGANGUUCCCGUGGGGUGGAAUUGGAGCUACAGCCGCAGGCCUACGCGACAGCCACAACAACGGGGGAUCCGAGCCGCGUCUGCAACCUACACCACAGGUCACGGCCACACUGUAUCCUACUAAGAGAAGCCAGGGAUCGAACCCCCAACCUCAUGGUUCCUAGUCAGAUUCCUUAACCACUGAGCCACGACGGGAACUCCUAUGAACAAUUUUUUACAUAAAGAAAACUCCUUUCCACAACUGCUGGCAUGCUUAUCAGGAUUUUUGUUUGACUCCUGCCAAUUUGAAUCCCGAGACUCAAAUAAAUGCAGAGCCAUCUGCGCUGACAUGGCUGUUGCGACUCUUCAAGGCUCGUGGAGGCAUUUGUUUCCAUUACCCUCAGUACCAUGAUGCUUCACUUUGUAGUAUCCCUACUGAAUAAGCUGAGCUUAACUUGUAUCAUGGACAUCGUCAGGUUAAGAUCUUGGUAAAAACUCUAUGUGCCAGAAGAGCUUAACCUUUUCGGCUCCAAGUCUCCAAAAAUGUAUAUUGGUGGUUUGAACUUUCUAUGGCAUUCCUCACAAUUUUCGCCUUCAUUAACAAUGAUUUUUGCAUAUAGGGUUUUGGAAUAUCUUUCAUUACAUUAAACAUUAAGUAAUCUUAAUGCUUCAAUCGAGAGAAAAGUAGAGUGCAAAUUAUCCUAUUCAGAUGACAUUUUGUCAAGCCUUGCUAAUUCAUCUAAACUAAUGCUGCUGUGGAUAUGCCUAGGUGACUACUCUUUUUAAGGUAGCAUGGCUCAAAAUAGGCUGAGUUCAGGUGUGUAUUCAGAGUUGUCAUGCAGUGAUCAUGAAAAGACUAUCAGAGAGCAUGAAGUAAAAACAAUUUUGCUGGCAUAAUACAGAAGCUUCCGGGCUGCAGCAGAUCAUUUUCAUGAAAGAUUUUUUGCACAUCUGAUCUAAAUAAAUUAAUGGUAACUCAAGUUUCCAUAAAAUGUAAUAAUGGAGAGUACAAAUAAUUCUCUAGCAGCUCUUUCUGUUGUUAAUAUAAGUUUAGAGGUUUGACAGAAUGAUAGAAUAUAAAAAGUGUAAAAAAUACUCAAAUAGGCCAAGAUUUAGGUAAUUUAAGCAUUGAUAAGAAUCUGAACAUUAUAUGAAGGUGAAGUAUUUGAAAGUUAUGUUUUCCAUAAAGAUACCUUCAUUUGAAAUGGUGAAUCAAAUGAGAUGGGGUGUGCUAAAGCACCAUCAAAGAUAUAAGCCACUCAUUGUAAGGUAUUAUCACCCACAUUAAAAAGAAGAUGCAGAAGCCCAGCUAGGGUGAGAAAAGUCAGAUGAGAAGAAGAUGCUCAGGUAGCCAGAGAAUAUGCUGACUUAAGAGUCAAGAACUAAGACGUUGAGAUGGAAGCUUGAGAUACCAUGCAAAAGCCAGAGAGGUUAUGGUUUUCUUAAGCCAGGAGUCUGUAUGCCAAGAAGGUAAUUUUGAUGGGAAAAAAACCAAACCAGUGAUAAGAGGUAUCCUGAACCCAAAAAAGAGAAAAUUUAAAAAAAUGAUGCAGAUCUCGAAAGAUGGGAGGUGAUGCCUGACAUAUUUACUACCAUAGCCAUAAUGCCUGGAAUCAUUGGGUAGCUAAUAACUGAUGAAGGGAUGGAUAAGUCAGAAAUAGGUGAAGAAUCUACAUGCAAAUACAGAUAUACAUAAAGAGGUAGUGCAUAGCUAAAUCUCCACUAAAGGUAAAGUAGAAGUAAAAUUGUAUCUAAUUGUUUGUGUGAAAUCAGUAAACCAGGGACUAAGAAUGGAAUGAACUAGACUAGGAAGAGAGGGGACCACUGGUCCUAAGUCUCAGCAUUGAACGGGGAGGUUGGAGGGAGGUUGGAAAACUGGGGAGUGGAAAGAGACAUCCUGGGGAGGCAAUGGGAGGCAAAAUAGAAAAAAAAAUGGAAAGGGAAGGCUCAGAAAGCCAAAAGUCAAUGAACCAAAGGAAAAAUCAGAAUCUCAAGUUUUGGGGUCUUAGAUAAAACUCUUCUUUUAAGGGAAAUGAGUAUCAGCUAUUGAUUGCUCAGAGGUAAAGAGCACUACCUCCCGUAGGCUUGUGAAGACAGCCGAGUGCCUAGCAGUGAGGAGCAUGCACACAGUAGAAAUAGCAUACUCUUUUUUUCUAGUCCUUGUCCAGUUUCAGUGCCUGGAAAGAUGAAUGUGACAGUGUGGCAUGAAGCAGUCUUGAGACAGGAGAGCCAGAUCAAUGCAUUUUAUCCACAGAAAGAUUUUGCAUCCAACAGAGAUUUGAUCCUUGUUUGAUCCCUGGAUCAGGAUCAUCGGCACAUCUGAUCACUGGUUGGAAACACGCCCAUUGGUCUCACCCAGUCUCACUGAAUCAGAAAACGGGUGCAUCCAAGGUACACUAUGUAAGGUUCUGCAAUAUGAUGAGACAUAGCUUUGAAAAUAACUACCAAAUUGGUCAUCUGCUCUUGCAUUUAGCCUCUAAAGAGAUACAUAUGCCUGGUUGCAAAGAGGUUUGUUUUGUUUCAAGGAAUCUUACAUGUUAGCAAUUUCAAUAGUUAUGUUGUACACUUGUUAAUAUAAAAAGAUUUCUAAUGAGAAUUGCUUACAUUGUUACAGUUCAUAAAGAACAAGAUAGGUUAAAGAGAAGUAUUUUUGAGUUUUUAAAAAAAUAACUAAAAAUAAAGUACAUUUCGCUAAACCACAAGGUAAUAAGCACACAAGCC
Molecule: long non-coding RNA, 6432 nt
Filed under: Sus scrofa (pig)
Lineage: Eukaryota; Metazoa; Chordata; Mammalia; Artiodactyla; Suidae
Description: lncRNA (ENSSSCG00060041675.1)
Source: RNAcentral